GGGUUGUGAGGUUAAGCGACUAAGCGUACACGGUGGAUGCCCUGGCAGUCAGAGGCGAUGAAGGACGUGCUAAUCUGCGAUAAGCGUCGGUAAGGUGAUAUGAACCGUUAUAACCGGCGAUUUCCGAAUGGGGAAACCCAGUGUGUUUCGACACACUAUCAUUAACUGAAUCCAUAGGUUAAUGAGGCGAACCGGGGGAACUGAAACAUCUAAGUACCCCGAGGAAAAGAAAUCAACCGAGAUUCCCCCAGUAGCGGCGAGCGAACGGGGAGGAGCCCAGAGCCUGAAUCAGUGUGUGUGUUAGUGGAAGCGUCUGGAAAGGCGCGCGAUACAGGGUGACAGCCCCGUACACAAAAAUGCACAUACUGUGAGCUCGAUGAGUAGGGCGGGACACGUGGUAUCCUGUCUGAAUAUGGGGGGACCAUCCUCCAAGGCUAAAUACUCCUGACUGACCGAUAGUGAACCAGUACCGUGAGGGAAAGGCGAAAAGAACCCCGGCGAGGGGAGUGAAAAAGAACCUGAAACCGUGUACGUACAAGCAGUGGGAGCCUCUUUUAUGGGGUGACUGCGUACCUUUUGUAUAAUGGGUCAGCGACUUAUAUUCUGUAGCAAGGUUAACCGAAUAGGGGAGCCGAAGGGAAACCGAGUCUUAACUGGGCGUUAAGUUGCAGGGUAUAGACCCGAAACCCGGUGAUCUAGCCAUGGGCAGGUUGAAGGUUGGGUAACACUAACUGGAGGACCGAACCGACUAAUGUUGAAAAAUUAGCGGAUGACUUGUGGCUGGGGGUGAAAGGCCAAUCAAACCGGGAGAUAGCUGGUUCUCCCCGAAAGCUAUUUAGGUAGCGCCUCGUGAAUUCAUCUCCGGGGGUAGAGCACUGUUUCGGCAAGGGGGUCAUCCCGACUUACCAACCCGAUGCAAACUGCGAAUACCGGAGAAUGUUAUCACGGGAGACACACGGCGGGUGCUAACGUCCGUCGUGAAGAGGGAAACAACCCAGACCGCCAGCUAAGGUCCCAAAGUCAUGGUUAAGUGGGAAACGAUGUGGGAAGGCCCAGACAGCCAGGAUGUUGGCUUAGAAGCAGCCAUCAUUUAAAGAAAGCGUAAUAGCUCACUGGUCGAGUCGGCCUGCGCGGAAGAUGUAACGGGGCUAAACCAUGCACCGAAGCUGCGGCAGCGACGCUUAUGCGUUGUUGGGUAGGGGAGCGUUCUGUAAGCCUGUGAAGGUGUACUGUGAGGUAUGCUGGAGGUAUCAGAAGUGCGAAUGCUGACAUAAGUAACGAUAAAGCGGGUGAAAAGCCCGCUCGCCGGAAGACCAAGGGUUCCUGUCCAACGUUAAUCGGGGCAGGGUGAGUCGACCCCUAAGGCGAGGCCGAAAGGCGUAGUCGAUGGGAAACAGGUUAAUAUUCCUGUACUUGGUGUUACUGCGAAGGGGGACGGAGAAGGCUAUGUUGGCCGGGCGACGGUUGUCCCGGUUUAAGCGUGUAGGCUGGUUUUCCAGGCAAAUCCGGAAAAUCAAGGCUGAGGCGUGAUGACGAGGCACUACGGUGCUGAAGCAACAAAUGCCCUGCUUCCAGGAAAAGCCUCUAAGCAUCAGGUAACAUCAAAUCGUACCCCAAACCGACACAGGUGGUCAGGUAGAGAAUACCAAGGCGCUUGAGAGAACUCGGGUGAAGGAACUAGGCAAAAUGGUGCCGUAACUUCGGGAGAAGGCACGCUGAUAUGUAGGUGAAGCGACUUGCUCGUGGAGCUGAAAUCAGUCGAAGAUACCAGCUGGCUGCAACUGUUUAUUAAAAACACAGCACUGUGCAAACACGAAAGUGGACGUAUACGGUGUGACGCCUGCCCGGUGCCGGAAGGUUAAUUGAUGGGGUUAGCGGUAACGCGAAGCUCUUGAUCGAAGCCCCGGUAAACGGCGGCCGUAACUAUAACGGUCCUAAGGUAGCGAAAUUCCUUGUCGGGUAAGUUCCGACCUGCACGAAUGGCGUAAUGAUGGCCAGGCUGUCUCCACCCGAGACUCAGUGAAAUUGAACUCGCUGUGAAGAUGCAGUGUACCCGCGGCAAGACGGAAAGACCCCGUGAACCUUUACUAUAGCUUGACACUGAACAUUGAGCCUUGAUGUGUAGGAUAGGUGGGAGGCUUUGAAGUGUGGACGCCAGUCUGCAUGGAGCCGGCCUUGAAAUACCACCCUUUAAUGUUUGAUGUUCUAACGUUGGCCCCUGAUCGGGGUUGCGGACAGUGUCUGGUGGGUAGUUUGACUGGGGCGGUCUCCUCCUAAAGAGUAACGGAGGAGCACGAAGGUUGGCUAAUCCUGGUCGGACAUCAGGAGGUUAGUGCAAUGGCAUAAGCCAGCUUGACUGCGAGCGUGACGGCGCGAGCAGGUGCGAAAGCAGGUCAUAGUGAUCCGGUGGUUCUGAAUGGAAGGGCCAUCGCUCAACGGAUAAAAGGUACUCCGGGGAUAACAGGCUGAUACCGCCCAAGAGUUCAUAUCGACGGCGGUGUUUGGCACCUCGAUGUCGGCUCAUCACAUCCUGGGGCUGAAGUAGGUCCCAAGGGUAUGGCUGUUCGCCAUUUAAAGUGGUACGCGAGCUGGGUUUAGAACGUCGUGAGACAGUUCGGUCCCUAUCUGCCGUGGGCGCUGGAGAACUGAGGGGGGCUGCUCCUAGUACGAGAGGACCGGAGUGGACGCAUCACUGGUGUUCGGGUUGUCAUGCCAAUGGCACUGCCCGGUAGCUAAAUGCGGAAGAGAUAAGUGCUGAAAGCAUCUAAGCACGAAACUUGCCCCGAGAUGAGUUCUCCCUGAGACUUUAAGUCUCCUGAAGGAACGUUGAAGACGACGACGUUGAUAGGCCGGGUGUGUAAGCGCAGCGAUGCGUUGAGCUAACCGGUACUAAUGAACCGUGAGGCUUAACCUUACAACGCCGAAGGUGUUU
Molecule: ribosomal RNA, 2932 nt
Filed under: Escherichia coli
Lineage: Bacteria; Pseudomonadati; Pseudomonadota; Gammaproteobacteria; Enterobacterales; Enterobacteriaceae
Description: bacterial LSU rRNA
Rfam family: Bacterial large subunit ribosomal RNA
Source: RNAcentral